Long non-coding RNA from Mauremys reevesii (Reeves's turtle), 1969 nucleotides. RefSeq lists it as uncharacterized. NCBI's taxonomy places the organism in Eukaryota, Metazoa, Chordata, Testudines, Geoemydidae. The record is from RefSeq and is a predicted model, not a curated record. The transcript has 3 exons.
UCACGUGGUAAGAACCCAGUGGGCUCUCACUGAUCAGGGCUAAAGACCAACUAAUCAGAUACCCAGGGAACGUGUAACUUUUAACCCAGGGAGGGUUUCCAUCCAAACACAGACACACCAUCCCACGCAGACAGAGCCCCUCAAGCCAGGAAAUGAGAUCAGCUCCACUCAGGUGGAUUUUAAAAUAAUUAUGAACUGAGAGAAAGCUGCAUUGAAAAAGAAGGGGGGGGGACACACCCGGCUUGUCCUUUCAGAUGAGCUUACUAAGCAGAAAGAAAAGCCAAUGUAAUCUCUGCUAGAAAUCACGCUUGGGAGACAGAUGCCAGCUCCUGUAUGGGAAGUGCAAGAAAGCAGCAGCUCUGUGGACUCUGACGGUCCCCGGCAAGAUGUUGCAAUUAGGAAACAGUUCAAAGGGGCUGACUGAAGUGAAGAGAAUAGCUAUUGAAUUUAAAAUCGCCCAGUUGUUAGAAGUGUGCCCGCUAGUGCCGCUGCAGUGGGGAGUACGCUAGUGUCCUCCCUUCCUCUCCCCCACCCCCGGGGCUGAUAACUGGGACAUGAUGGACAUUUCCCACAGAUUGAACUUGGCACACAGGCGCUCAGCCUGAAAUAUAAGCAAUGCCACUGGCUUCUAGAACCAGCCCUACCCCACACCAACAACAUUUUCCAGGCAACACUGUAAGAAUGCAUCCAUGGGAUCGAUAGAUGGUUUAUAUAUUAUAUAGUCUGGGGGGGUUCGUUUAUUUUGUCUGUUUGAUAGGACUGCAUUAAGAAAUUGAAAACAAACUUUUCAAGCCAUUAGCCCGUAGGACACCCCAGGCCCAGUUAAAAUAUACCGUAAAUGACACAGCCGGCAUAGGGAGGUUAUAAAAACAUAUCCCGUGCAGGCAAAGGAACGACUCGUGAGGAUUUGUACUCCGGAGCCACAACAUUCAAUUCGGAAGACUCCAUUACAGAGUCUACUGCAAAUCAUGUGCAUUAAAAAUGCUAUGGAGUACGAGUACCCCGAGAAGUGAGCUCUGUGCUGCAGAUCCGGAGUCAAGCCUGUUUCACAACACAGCGCCCAUCAUGACAGUAACGCGCACACAAGCCACGAAAGUUUAUCGUAGGAAAUGCACGUUAAAUCAUGUACAAGUUUUGUCAACCCCCACCCCCAACAGCUCUACUGACAGGAGCCCUUUAAUGACAUCAAAUGGGAGAUGUGGAAUUAAGCGAAGUACGCCAUAAAAAUGGCACACAGCAAAUGCGGUAAGGCAGCGGACAUCGCUCCAGCGAAGCUGCGGAACUCCGAAGUUAAAGGCUGCUGCUCCACGCCGCGGUUAGCCCACCCUGCUGUGCCUGGUCCUCUCACUGCCGCUGAGCACUGCCUGCCUUUUACUCUCUCCGGAGUCGCUGCAACACCCAGGCACACACCGUGAGGGGGAGAUGCCGGGGUUCAAGCGCCCCUUUGAGCCUCAAUUCUGAAGUUCCCGCAUUUGGUCGCCUUAGAACAGAGCCUUCCCCUUAUUGCAAAAUUAAAGCCAUACUCCCCCUCCCCCGAAGAAGAACUGGCCGCACUGAGCUUCUGUUGCAGGGAGCUAGUUAAGAAGACUCCUGUGUAAAAAGGAAAUAGGAAAAAUCUAUCAUCUGAUGUGUGAACACUACAAGAGGUUCUGAAAGUAGGAGACAGGUGGCUGAGUCCUGAUGUGAUCUGGAGAGGCAUCGCUACCAACCUUGGUCCAUGUCAAAAGCAAUAACAAAGGAAGGAGGAGUUUGGAGAUCCAGAGAAACAACCAUGCCAAGGACUGAUGGUGGCCUUCCAUUAGGAGUAGCACUGUGGUCUCCUUAUUGAACAGUACAGGCAGGGCCAGAUUAACUCUCCUGUGGGCCUGGGGCUAUUAGAUUUUGUGGAGCCCCCGUAUACAAGUCUUGUUCCUAAUUUAAAACAAAAUGAUCAUAAUUAUGGCAUUGAGGAUAUUAAUGCUAUACUAAA